GAUGAAGAACGUAGUGAAAUGCGAUAAUUAAUGUGAAUUGCAGAAUUCAGUGAAUCAUCGAGUCUUUGAACGCACGUUGCGCCCCCUGGUAUUCCGGGGGGCAUGCCUGUCCGAGCGUCAUUGCUGCCCUCAAGCACGGCUUGUGUGUUGGGCUUCCGUCCCUGGCAACGGGGACGGGCCCAAAAGGCAGUGGCGGCACCAUGUCUGGUCCUCGAGCGUAUGGGGCUUUGUCACCCGCUCCCGUAGGUCCAGCUGGCAGCUAGCCUCGCAACCAAUCUUUUUAACCAGGUUGACCUCGGAUCAGGUAGGGAUACCCGCUGAACUUAAGCAUAUCAAUAAGCGGAGGA
Molecule: unclassified non-coding RNA, 347 nt
Filed under: soil metagenome
Description: partial contains 5.8S ribosomal RNA, internal transcribed spacer 2, and large subunit ribosomal RNA
Rfam family: 5.8S ribosomal RNA (bases 1-120)
Source: RNAcentral